GGCAGUUUCUGGCCAAUAGAAUGCAUUUUUAAACGGUGUAGAAAAUUCUGACUUAGAAUCAUUUUGUGUCCUAAUUGUUUGUUGAUAGGACUGAACUGCUAUAGUUUCACUUUUUUCUGGUGUGAAAUGUCUUUCGCUUGUAAUAUUUUCAGGUAUGACUCCUUCCUCCAUGUCGCAGUUAUUCUUACUAAGUGUGGUUUUAGUUUUUUCUGGUGUGAAAUGUCUUUCGCUUGUAAUAUUUUCAGGUAUUACUCGUUCUUCCAUGUCGCAGUUAUUCUUACAAAGUAUGGUUUUAGUUUUU
This 301-nucleotide unclassified non-coding RNA is filed under the name Diabrotica virgifera virgifera (western corn rootworm). Its description in RNAcentral is "uncharacterized LOC126885718". Lineage: Eukaryota; Metazoa; Arthropoda; Insecta; Coleoptera; Chrysomelidae. The record is from RNAcentral.